RNAcentral lists this ribosomal RNA (508 nucleotides) under uncultured bacterium. RNAcentral describes it as "partial 16S ribosomal RNA". It matches the Rfam family "Bacterial small subunit ribosomal RNA", at positions 28 to 523 of the family's 1533-position model. The record is from RNAcentral.
GAUGAACGCUAGCUACAGGCUUAACACAUGCAAGUCGAGGGGAAACGAUAGAGAAAGCUUGCUUUUUCUAGGCGUCGACCGGCGCACGGGUGAGUAACGCGUAUCCAACCUGCCCACCACUUGGGGAUAACCUUGCGAAAGUAAGACUAAUACCCAAUGAUAUCUCAAGAAGACAUCUGAAUGAGAUUAAAGAUUUAUCGGUGAUGGAUGGGGAUGCGUCUGAUUAGCUUGUUGGCGGGGUAACGGCCCACCAAGGCGACGAUCAGUAGGGGUUCUGAGAGGAAGGUCCCCCACAUUGGAACUGAGACACGGUCCAAACGCCUACGGGAGGCAGCAGUGAGGAAUAUUGGUCAAUGGACGAGAGUCUGAACCAGCCAAGUAGCGUGCAGGAUGACGGCCCUAUGGGUUGUAAACUGCUUUUAUAAGGGAAUAAAGUGAGUCUCGUGAGACUUUUUGCAUGUACCUUAUGAGUAAGGACCGGCUAAUUCCGUGCCAGCAGCCGCCGUAA